Molecule: ribosomal RNA, 267 nt
Filed under: uncultured bacterium
Lineage: Bacteria
Description: partial 16S ribosomal RNA
Rfam family: Bacterial small subunit ribosomal RNA
Source: RNAcentral
UGCCGGCGACCGGCGGACGGGUGCGUAACGCGUAUGUAACCUACCUUUGACAGGGGGAUAACAUCGAGAAAUUGGUACUAAUACCCCAUAACAUCACCGGAGGCAUCUUCGGUGGUUGAAAACUCAGGUGGUCAGAGAUGGGCAUGCGUUGUAUUAGCUAGUUGGUGAGGUAACGGCUCACCAAGGCGACGAUACAUAGGGGGACUGAGAGGUCAACCCCCCACAUUGGUACUGAGACACGGACCAAACUCCUACGGAAGGCAGCAG